AGCCCUGGGCAAUUCACCUUUUCUUUAAAUACUCAUGUCACAUUUGUGCUGUUGCCAAUGCUUCUCAGACCCUCCAGAUGAGGACAUUUCCCUGAGGAGGUGGCUAUGAUGGUAGAACUUACAAGACUUCAGUGGACAUAAGGAAGCAAGGAGGCUCUGCAAAGUAGUCUGCAGUGAAAGUGCAGAGAAAGCUGAAGAUGGGGCCCAGGACUUAAUCAUCAGAGCAGCAGAGCACCUAAAGUUAAACUUCCAGCCAUGCAGGCUUGAAAUGCCAAGGUACGAGCCCAAGGGCACGUCCAAUGAACAUACUGCACAUUGGGCUCCAUCUCAGAGCCUGCUUCCCAAGAAUUCGACCUGUGGCAUGGGUAGGGCAAUGGCCAGCCACAGUCACAGAGAUUUUUCCAUAAUGAGAAGACUCUUGUUGAAGGUUUACCCUAGGCUGGAAUGACAAGAGAGAAUCUGGAAGGUACCAGGGAGACGGGGUCAAGGUGGCAGGCAAGAUGGUCAAAUAGAAGUAGCUUCAGUCUGCAGCUCCCAGUGAGAUCAACACAGAAGGAAACAAUGCCAAGAAUACGUUAAUCUAAACCCAUGAUGUUUCUACAUCUCAAAGAACAGAGAGAAAAGGAAACUGGAGAGAGGCCAGAAGUGACCAACUCUAUUCCCUCAUUUCUGUGUUAUACUCCCUUUGUCUAAUCUUCCCUACCCUACCAGGUGGUUUAAGAAUUUUAUCCUUUCUCCAGACUAGAAGAGGAAGUGGGGGCCGGAAUUAGGUGUAUACAAAUUGUUGGAAAGCCUUUGUGUGGAUUUGGAGGGCUGAAGUAGAGUAUCAUUUUUACAAAGCAGCCCAAGCCUCUAAUCUGAGCAGGAAGAUUCACACUCAUUCUCUGGCAUGAGUCCUAUCAGGAGGAUCAAUGAAGCCAAGGCUGUAGAAAUAAAUAAUUAAUCUCUCCACCCAAGGAGGCUAGUAAACAAUAUUCAAUACGUGAAUACUGAGUUCUGCCAAGAGGAAGAAGCAUAUAAACCAGGCAACUGCUGAACGCAUUGCCAAAAAGGGAGACUUACGCAUCAUUCACUAAAGCUUUCCAAAAACUAAAUCAGAUCCAAGAACAGAUAAACUCCUGCAGAAUGACAAUGGUGGAGAAAUUGACCUCCCAGCAUUGCAGACUUACAUCAGUUGUUCUGAUGUUCUUAGUUAUAUCAGAUUCCUUCCAGAAUCUUCUAAAUAUAUCAGACGGUCAGACACAACCCCAGGCCCUAAUAAAAAACCCUGAUGCUGGCCUA
Long non-coding RNA from Homo sapiens (human), 1281 nucleotides. Ensembl annotates it as cancer susceptibility 17. Its record names the gene CASC17. The record is from Ensembl. NCBI's taxonomy places the organism in Eukaryota, Metazoa, Chordata, Mammalia, Primates, Hominidae.